AGCGGAUAGCUUGGCGCGAAAAGU
This 24-nucleotide non-coding RNA is filed under the name Arabidopsis thaliana (thale cress). Lineage: Eukaryota; Viridiplantae; Streptophyta; Magnoliopsida; Brassicales; Brassicaceae. The record is from RNAcentral.